RNAcentral lists this non-coding RNA (696 nucleotides) under Phoneutria boliviensis. The record is from RNAcentral. Lineage: Eukaryota; Metazoa; Arthropoda; Arachnida; Araneae; Ctenidae.
UAAUUAGUUAAAAAUUAAUAAUACAGUUAAUUUUUAUUAAGAAAUACAAAUAAAUGUAUCUUAAAAACACCCAACUUUAUUUUAAAUAUAAAGAAUAAUAAAAUAAUAACUUACUAAUUCAUAAGUGCCAGCAGUAGCGGUUAUUCUUUAAGUUAAACUGUAUUCAAUAAAGUUAAACUUCCCUAAAACAAACUAUACAAAAAUAUUCAGUGAAAUACAAUUUUAAUAAAUAAUAUUACUAAACUUAACUAAAAUUUAAAAUAUAAAAUAGGAUUAGAUACCCUAGUAUAUUUAAACAAACUUAGGUAAUAAUAAAUUUUAAAAAAACCUAUUUAUAUUGGCGGCAAUUAAUCUUAUUAAAGGAACUUGUUUAAUAAUCGAUAACACACGUUUAAUUUCACUUAAAUCACUAAUUUAUAUACCGCCAUCUUAAGAAUUAACUUAACUAAGUUAUCCAAAAUACUACACUCUAAAAAGUUAGGUCAAGGUGUAAUUAAUAUUUCAGCUAAAAUGAGUUACAAUAAACAUUAUUUAAGAAUUUUUAAUCCCAAAAUUAAAAUGAAAAAGAAUUUAAAUGUAAUAUUUUAAUAAAAAUUAAAUAUGAAUAAGAUAACAAAUGUGCACAUAUCGCCCGUCACCCUAAUCCUAAGAUUAGGUAAGUCGUAACACAGUUAAUGUUUUGGAAAAAGCAUUAAG